CCUACGGGAGGCAGCAGUGGGGAAUUUUGGACAAUGGGCGAAAGCCUGAUCCAGCAAUGCCGCGUGCAGGAUGAAGGCCCUCGGGUUGUAAACUGCUUUUGUACGGAACGAAAAGCCUGGGGCUAAUAUCCCCGGGUCAUGACGGUACCGUAAGAAUAAGCACCGGCUAACUACGUGCCAGCAGCCGCGGUAAU
This 194-nucleotide ribosomal RNA is filed under the name uncultured bacterium. Its description in RNAcentral is "partial 16S ribosomal RNA". It matches the Rfam family "Bacterial small subunit ribosomal RNA", at positions 338 to 524 of the family's 1533-position model. The record is from RNAcentral. RNAcentral also lists the same sequence under 2 other names.